Molecule: long non-coding RNA, 735 nt
Organism: Triticum aestivum (bread wheat)
Lineage: Eukaryota; Viridiplantae; Streptophyta; Magnoliopsida; Poales; Poaceae
Exons: 5
Source: RefSeq, a predicted model, not a curated record
UCACAGCCCACUCGCUCACUCGCUCGCCUCUCUUCUCCCCGUCGCUCCCCUCUUCUCCCCGUCGCUCUCCCCGACUCCCGCCGGCAUCUCCCUGACUCCCCGUCGCCGGCCUCUCUAGCAUAUCUCCUCGUCGCCGCCACCUUUCUCCGCGUCCACAGCCGACAUCCAUUCACGUCCGGCGUCCACUCACAGCCGGCGUCCAUUCACGCCCCACAUCCAAGGUCAAAGAAUGAAUUUUUUGCGCCGGCGACGAGCUUCUGGGCGACAGAGGCGAUGGAUUUGCGUGCGCCGGCGCUCGAUCUAGGCGAGGGAGGCGCUGGAUCUGCGCUCGUCGGCACUGGAUGCAUAGUGGAGGCCGAGCGGCGUAUCUGGAGAGGCGCGGGAGCAACUGGCGGAUCUGGAGCGGCUUGGUCAUCCUCACGGAUCUGUGUGCCGGACUCCACUACGGCUCUGAAGCCUUCACAAAGUUACUAAAAUCGUGUGAUUGUUGCUGUGCAAGCAAAGAUGAAGCUGAUGGAUCACCCCAGGCCCAGAGCAACUUGCUGAUGGAUUCUGGAGUAUGUGUGUGAAUUGCUGAAUGGAGUAGAAUGGUGGAGUGCAGUUGAGGUCUGGGACAACCAUCUUCUGCUGCUUUCAGUUCAUUCCUCUCUUUGCUACGUGGUCAUUGUUUCAGGACAGAUCGAGUUCGUUUCCAGCGACAGCAGAGAGAUGUACUCCAGCAGAGGAUCAAAUGAU